This 495-nucleotide ribosomal RNA is filed under the name uncultured bacterium. RNAcentral's name for it is "partial 16S ribosomal RNA". It matches the Rfam family "Bacterial small subunit ribosomal RNA", at positions 29 to 506 of the family's 1533-position model. The record is from RNAcentral.
AUGAACGCUGGCGGCGUGCCUAAUACAUGCAAGUCGAGCGAACAGACGAGGAGCUUGCUCCUCUGACGUUAGCGGCGGACGGGUGAGUAACACGUGGAUAACCUACCUAUAAGACUGGGAUAACUUCGGGAAACCGGAGCUAAUACUGGAUAAUAUAUUGAACCGCAUGGUUCAAUAGUGAAAGACGGUUUUGCUGUCACUUAUAGAUGGAUCCGCGCCGCAUUAGCUAGUUGGUAAGGUAACGGCUUACCAAGGCAACGAUGCGUAGCCGACCUGAGAGGGUGAUCGGCCACACUGGAACUGAGACACGGUCCAGACUCCUACGGGAGGCAGCAGUAGGGAAUCUUCCGCAAUGGGCGAAAGCCUGACGGAGCAACGCCGCGUGAGUGAUGAAGGUCUUCGGAUCGUAAAACUCUGUUAUUAGGGAAGAACAAAUGUGUAAGUAACUAUGCACGUCUUGACGGUACCUAAUCAGAAAGCCACGGCUAACUACGU